Molecule: ribosomal RNA, 2339 nt
Filed under: Salmonella enterica subsp. enterica serovar Enteritidis
Lineage: Bacteria; Pseudomonadati; Pseudomonadota; Gammaproteobacteria; Enterobacterales; Enterobacteriaceae
Description: partial 23S ribosomal RNA
Rfam family: Bacterial large subunit ribosomal RNA
Source: RNAcentral
CUGCGAUAAGCGCCGGUAAGGUGAUAUGAACCGUUAUAACCGGCGAUACCCGAAUGGGGAAACCCAGUGUGACUCGUCACACUAUCAUUAACUGAAUCCAUAGGUUAAUGAGGCGAACCGGGGGAACUGAAACAUCUAAGUACCCCGAGGAAAAGAAAUCAACCGAGAUUCCCCCAGUAGCGGCGAGCGAACGGGGAGGAGCCCAGAGCCUGAAUCAGCAUGUGUGUUAGUGGAAGCGUCUGGAAAGGCGCGCGAUACAGGGUGACAGCCCCGUACACAAAAGCGCAUGUGCUGUGAGCUCGAUGAGUAGGGCGGGACACGUGGUAUCCUGUCUGAAUAUGGGGGGACCAUCCUCCAAGGCUAAAUACUCCUGACUGACCGAUAGUGAACCAGUACCGUGAGGGAAAGGCGAAAAGAACCCCGGCGAGGGGAGUGAAAAAGAACCUGAAACCGUGUACGUACAAGCAGUGGGAGCCCCACCACCAAAGCAUUUGCUGUACCGCGUUGACGGAGCGAAGCGACGUCAAACCGAUAAAACAGCAGUGUAAAGUGAGCCGCAGGGCGCUUUGCGCGACAGCGCAAAGGCAGGCGGUUUCGCGUAGCGAAAGCGAAUGCUUUGGGGUGGGGUGACUGCGUACCUUUUGUAUAAUGGGUCAGCGACUUAUAUUCUGUAGCAAGGUUAACCGAAUAGGGGAGCCGGAGGGAAACCGAGUCUUAAUUGGGCGUUAAGUUGCAGGGUAUAGACCCGAAACCCGGUGAUCUAGCCAUGGGCAGGUUGAAGGUUGGGUAACACUAACUGGAGGACCGAACCGACUAAUGUUGAAAAAUUAGCGGAUGACCUGUGGCUGGGGGUGAAAGGCCAAUCAAACCGGGAGAUAGCUGGUUCUCCCCGAAAGCUAUUUAGGUAGCGCCUCGUGAAUUCAUCUCCGGGGGUAGAGCACUGUUUCGGCUAGGGGGCCAUCCCGGCUUACCAACCCGAUGCAAACUGCGAAUACCGGAGAAUGUUAUCACGGGAGACACACGGCGGGUGCUAACGUCCGUCGUGAAGAGGGAAACAACCCAGACCGCCAGCUAAGGUCCCAAAGUCAUGGUUAAGUGGGAAACGAUGUGGGAAGGCCCAGACAGCCAGGAUGUUGGCUUAGAAGCAGCCAUCAUUUAAAGAAAGCGUAAUAGCUCACUGGUCGAGUCGGCCUGCGCGGAAGAUGUAACGGGGCUAAACCAUGCACCGAAGCUGCGGCAGCGACACUGUGUGUUGUUGGGUAGGGGAGCGUUCUGUAAGCCUGUGAAGGUGUGUCGUGAGGCAUGCUGGAGGUAUCAGAAGUGCGAAUGCUGACAUAAGUAACGAUAAAGCGGGUGAAAAGCCCGCUCGCCGGAAGACCAAGGGUUCCUGUCCAACGUUAAUCGGGGCAGGGUGAGUCGACCCCUAAGGCGAGGCCGAAAGGCGUAGUCGAUGGGAAACGGGUUAAUAUUCCCGUACUUGGUGUUACUGCGAAGGGGGGACGGAGAAGGCUAUGUUGGCCGGGCGACGGUUGUCCCGGUUUAAGCGUGUAGGUGUGUGUUCCAGGUAAAUCCGGUUCACUUUAACACUGAGGCGUGACGACGAGGCACUACGGUGCUGAAGCAACAAAUGCCCUGCUUCCAGGAAAAGCCUCUAAGCAUCAGGUAACAUCAAAUCGUACCCCAAACCGACACAGGUGGUCAGGUAGAGAAUACCAAGGCGCUUGAGAGAACUCGGGUGAAGGAACUAGGCAAAAUGGUGCCGUAACUUCGGGAGAAGGCACGCUGACACGUAGGUGAAGUGAUUUACUCAUGGAGCUGAAGUCAGUCGAAGAUACCAGCUGGCUGCAACUGUUUAUUAAAAACACAGCACUGUGCAAACACGAAAGUGGACGUAUACGGUGUGACGCCUGCCCGGUGCCGGAAGGUUAAUUGAUGGGGUCAGCGCAAGCGAAGCUCCUGAUCGAAGCCCCGGUAAACGGCGGCCGUAACUAUAACGGUCCUAAGGUAGCGAAAUUCCUUGUCGGGUAAGUUCCGACCUGCACGAAUGGCGUAAUGAUGGCCAGGCUGUCUCCACCCGAGACUCAGUGAAAUUGAACUCGCUGUGAAGAUGCAGUGUACCCGCGGCAAGACGGAAAGACCCCGUGAACCUUUACUAUAGCUUGACACUGAACAUUGAGCCUUGAUGUGUAGGAUAGGUGGGAGGCUUUGAAGUGUGGACGCCAGUCUGCAUGGAGCCGACCUUGAAAUACCACCCUUUAAUGUUUGAUGUUCUAACGUGGACCCGUUACCCGGGUUGCGGACAGUGUCUGGUGGGUAGUUUGACUGGGGCGGUCUCCUCC